ACCGCCCUCUCCUCUCCUCAUUGUAGUAUAUAAACUUUAUUUUCCCGGUGAUUCCACAGAGAAGAAAAAUAAAACAAACUCUGUUUAGAUUUUCUCUCAAAGUCCGUAAAAUUUUUGCGAGAUUUUAUUGAAGAUUUGAUCCCGAGAUUGUGUUUUCUGUUCAAUGGUGAUUACAGGUUCUGAGGGCGAGAGAGUAAGCGAGUUGAAGACGAUGGGUCCGGAAAGAUCGAAACCUCUCCACAAUUUCGCGAUGCCGAGCUUGAAGUGGGGAAAUCAGAGGUUCCUAAGGUGCAUGAAAGUGAAUUCCAAUGGCGAAGUGGCCGCCGAUGAUGGCAGAUCUUCGGAUUUGGUUAGGGGUAGGCGAGAAUCCGAGUCGGAGAAACGUAGAUCUCUGACUUGUUCGGAGAGUUUGGAGGAGUCGCCGACGCGGUCGUCGCCGAUUGGGGGGAAAGGAAAGGGGGAUGAGAUCGACGGCGACGACGGAAUCGAAGCGGUGAGGGCGAAGCUGAUGUUCGAUCUUCAAGCAGCCGCCGACAAGAUGAAGGUGGCUAUUUUCAAGGACGGGGAAGAGGAGGACUCCUCGAGGCCAUGGAAUCUCAGGACAAGGAGAGCUGCGUGUAAGGCUCCGUCGCCGAGUGGUGGAGGAGGGAAGAGUUUGACGAUCGAGAGGCGAAAGCCUGGUACUUCGCCGUCGAGGACUGAUGUGUCGGCGCCUAGAAGAGGUGAGAAGAAAGAGAGGGCAAAGUUCUCGGUUUCACUUUCUCGGCAAGAGAUUGAGGAGGAUUUUAUGGCCAUAACGGGACACAGGCCCGCGAGGAGGCCGAAGAAGAGGGCAAAGAAUGUGCAGAAGCAAUUGGAUACGCUUUUCCCAGGCUUGUGGUUGACCGAAGUUACACCAGAUUCAUACAAAGUUCCCGACUUUCCUGAAACCGGAAAGAGAUAGUAAAUACAUGGCAGGAGCUGGUUUUUAGAAGUUUAAAGGUUCUUGUUCGCUGACGGCUGAACUUUGAAUGCUGGUGGUGCUGGUCCAUGCCACACGCGCACUACGGCAGUAUGUGUGGCCUUGAAGUCAUCCUUCUCCAAUGACAAAAACGUGCUUAAAAAGUAUGAGAUAAGGGCCCUAUGUGUGGCCCAUCUAUCCUCCCGUGCCAUGCCGCCAAUUUCUGGCUAAAACGAAAUGUUGAGAUAAAGAAUGAACUGAAAUCUUGACACGGUCUGACAUUGAAUGCUGACUCGAGGAUGCUUCCUCUCUAUUUUACCUACUCCCGGUCAAGAGAACCCAGAAUAUGGACUGGAUUUUCUUCACGAAAAUUAGACCAUUAACUCCUCUUUACACGUAUGAAUUGAGCUUCCUCAACAAGAUGAUAGGAUAGAUUAUCUAUUCAUUAUUGAAAACUUAUUUUUAUUUUUCUUAAUAUGUUUUAUCGAAAAAAGAAAUGUAAGU
Molecule: RNA transcript, 1444 nt
Organism: Vitis vinifera (wine grape)
Lineage: Eukaryota; Viridiplantae; Streptophyta; Magnoliopsida; Vitales; Vitaceae
Exons: 4
Source: RefSeq, a predicted model, not a curated record